CGCAGACCCAGCCCCUCCGCGCUGCCGGACUCCGAGCGGCCGCGAGCAAGUUCUGCGGGUGCCCGACCAGACUCUGCUUGCGGGGACAGCGAAACCCAUCGAGCGGAGCUGCCGGUGCCGGGGGGACGUACAAACAGCGCCCGAGCGGACGUGUGCUGCUGUUCCACGGAACCCACAGCCCAUCGCAACAGCUAAUCCAAAGCAAAGGACGGAAAGAAAGCAGGCAGUAACUUGCGCCAGGCAUCACAGCUGCCGCAGCRCAGUGCAAACACCUUGCUGGGGGAGCAGCCGGAUUCAAGUGAACCCUGACAGCCUGAAAGAUGCUCCUUUGACCUAAGUUUAGCUUUAUUUCCUGAGUAGGAAAAACUGUUUGCACUGCUGCUGCUCCUGCAAUCACAACAAAUGCUUGAGAAUAAGACAAAGAAUUUAUCAUUCUUCCCCGGGCAGAGGGUGAUAGAUUAUCUGUGGAGCUGUGGAAUUUCCCCAGACCCUCUAUGAAAUCAAUUUCUUGGAAAUGUUUCGCUGGCCAUAUAGAGGGCCGUUCGGAAACGGCAAGGUCCUCUGAUGCACAGCUUUACCUGCAAUCGUCUGGGCUGCAGCAUUUUAAUUUGUUUCCUUUAAAGAGACUCAAGGGCACCAYAAGAGGCAAUUUCCAGGAUUCAAAGGAGACGGCAGAAUCUGAUCUCCUUCCAUGGCCUUGUAUGUAAUUACUGGAAAGAAUGAGGGAGGCACUACAGAUGCAAAGACUCCAAGAGGCCAGAAGAAGUCAGUGGAAGCCCGCAGACAGACGUACCGCCGCCCGGACGCGGGGCUCGGUGGCGGCGUGCUCGGACUGCCAAGCAGGGCUGACGGCAGCAGUCUCGAAACCGCAGCUGUGGGGGGAACGCUCUCCCGGAAAGGCGAACGGAGGUGGAAGCAGGAGCACAUCGCUGCCUCCAGCCCGCGACGAGCGCAGCAGAAGAUGUACCUUGCCCCAGGAUCUGACCUGCAGCUCUGCUGGUGGUGCAAAAARCCUGCUUCAGGCUCUUGGCGAUAUCAAGCUCAUCCGUCUUGGACUUCACACCUCUGUAUYUUCACAGCCGCAGCACUGCCACUUGGAGAGAAUUUUUUACGUGUCAUCGAGUUUUAGUGCUAUUCUAUUCCGUUUGCUACCUUAGCUUAAUCAUUUCUUAACACUCUUUCAGUUUGCGCUCCUAUCUCUUUUCACCAUCAUCUGUUCCUGAUAUUUUAUUUUUCCAAUAAACUAAGUAAUUUAAUGGCCCUAAUCCCA
RNAcentral lists this long non-coding RNA (1270 nucleotides) under Dromaius novaehollandiae (emu). Its description in RNAcentral is "lncRNA (ENSDNVG00000003287.1)". Lineage: Eukaryota; Metazoa; Chordata; Aves; Casuariiformes; Dromaiidae. The record is from RNAcentral.